This is a non-coding RNA of Camellia sinensis, 1055 nucleotides long. The record is from RefSeq and is a predicted model, not a curated record. Lineage: Eukaryota; Viridiplantae; Streptophyta; Magnoliopsida; Ericales; Theaceae.
GAGCUCACUGCUGCACUGCACUGUACCAAAGCUUUGCCCAUCUUCUCAUAUUUUAGCUCCCAUUUCAAGUUUCAUGAUCCAUCUCUCUCUCUCUCACACUCUCUGAGGUAUUAGAGAGAGAGAGAGAGAGAGCUGAGAGGUGGAUCAUUGACCCGCCAUGUCCGAGGUAGUCAAAAAAGCUUGGAACAUUUACAUGCUACAAUUGCAACUCCACCCUCUGAGAACCAAGGUAAUUACAUCAGGAGUUUUGGCUGGAUUUCAGGACCUAUAUUCUCAGAAGUCUUCCGGAAUCAAAAAGCUUCAAUUAAGAAGAUUACUUCUUUUAAUGCUCUAUGGGUUCGCAUAUGGUGGGCCAUUUGAUUACUGCUGUCAGAAAUUGACUGAUUUCAUCUUCAAGGGAAAGAACGAUAUCAAAACUUAUGCAAAGAAAGUAUUGUUGCAACAAUUAACUUAUCAUCCUUGGAACAACUUGAUUUACAUGGUGUACUAUGGUUUGGUAGUUGAAGGGAGACCUUGGAGGUCAGUUAAAAACAAAGUUCGAAAAGAAUACCCCGCUUUACAGUUGGAUGCAUGGAAGGUCCGUGUCAUGUUCUCUACCGUUUAUGGCUCAUGCUGGACCAAAAAUUCAUCGGACUCGCAGACUUCACUUUAGGUUUCCAAAUCCAAUAGUGUGGGCUUCUGGCAAAUCUAGGGUUGCGCCAUCAAUAUGGGGCUCUACAAAUUUAAGAACCAAUCUUGAGAGGGGAUUGCAUUGAGUUUGCUGAGGUAUUGAUUCGGCUAUAUAUUUGAAUUUCAAAUCAAGGUCAAGUGCUGCCAAGAAAGACUAGAAAGCAAGAACUUUUCUUUUCUUUUUUUGUAUCUUUUAUUUUCCAUUUUAGUUAAGCUUAAAAUUCUUAUUUGUUCAAAAGGGAAGUUGUCUCACCAUAACAUAGGGGUGAUUUUAAAAGUUAGUUUUUUGAUUUUUUUCAACUUUUGUCUUUUUGUGUAUAAAAAAUGUGAGAGAUGAUAUAACUCAAAAUUGAUUAAAAAUUAAAAGCUAGCUUUCCAAAAGGGCC